Eriocheir sinensis (Chinese mitten crab) is the source of this 810-nucleotide long non-coding RNA. RefSeq lists it as uncharacterized. The record is from RefSeq and is a predicted model, not a curated record. The transcript is spliced from 2 exons. NCBI's taxonomy places the organism in Eukaryota, Metazoa, Arthropoda, Malacostraca, Decapoda, Varunidae.
AUUUUAACCCUAGAUGGGUAUCGCUGGGUCCGCGCGGACCCACGGCUUAUCUACAUUUUGAAUAUCCAGCUCUAUUUCCCAAAGUAUGACGAGGCAGCAGCUGGCGGCGACUCCAGAGCCAGUGAGGAUGAAGAUCUCGAGGAGAGAGGGCAUACGUCUCCCUCACUCACUAUUGUCCCCGUAAGAUUGGCAGCAACACAUCAUGGCAAAUAGACGAGCUCUAUCAGACGAGGCAGUCCAGGAACUCCUGAAUGAUGUGACUCUAAACAUCGAGGGUGAUGUCACCGUCAUGAUGUUGACACAUCAGCAAUGGAUUAUACCGUGACCCCUCAAAAACCACACGUUUUUGAGGAGUAUAUGUCAGAUGUGGACCUGUCACCUGUUGCAGGCCCAUCAACAAUGCCUGAUCCUGGCCCCUCACAAUACGCAGAACGUCAUCGUUCUGCAAAAAGAAAAUUACUGCCUCGCAUGUCAACGCCAUUACCCAAGAAAAGAGCUGAAAGCACUGUCUCACAACCUGUGCUUGACGCCCAAAACUCCGAUGACACUCAAGACACUAACAACACUCAAGCCCCAUCAACAAAUGGGAACAGAGAACCCAGGACUGAAAGUUCAUCCCAGGAGGCUCCAGCCUCAGAGAAGAUUUUUCCUGUACCUGCAAAUGGUACAGGCUACCUGUAUUCAUUGAAUACAGGUAGCCUAAUUGGUCUUUUUCAUUUGUUCCAGGGACAUCGUUUUUUUUCUCAAAAGGAAGAAUGACACUGUAUUUUUUUUCAAAAAACUAUUGAAUAAAAGGAAUUUACCCUUGUU